GAGAAAAUAGCUUAGUGGUUAGAGUAUUAGCUUGUCAUGUUAAAUGUCGCGGGUUCAACUCCCGUUUUUCUCG
RNAcentral lists this transfer RNA (73 nucleotides) under Phenylobacterium zucineum. RNAcentral's name for it is "tRNA-Asp". It matches the Rfam family "tRNA". Rfam says of the family: Transfer RNA (tRNA) molecules are approximately 80 nucleotides in length. Their secondary structure includes four short double-helical elements and three loops (D, anti-codon, and T loops). The record is from RNAcentral. Lineage: Bacteria; Pseudomonadati; Pseudomonadota; Alphaproteobacteria; Caulobacterales; Caulobacteraceae.